GAUGAACGCUAGCGGCAGGCCUAAUACAUGCAAGUCGAACGAGAUCAAGAGCUUCGGUUCUUGGUUUAGUGGCGCACGGGUGCGUAACGCGUAUGCAACCUACCUUCCACAGGGGGAUAGCCCACCGAAAGGUGGAUUAAUACCGCAUAAGACCACGGUCCUGGCAUCAGGAUGUGGUCAAAGCUUUGGCGGUGGAAGAUGGGCAUGCGUGCCAUUAGUUAGUUGGUAGGGUAACGGCCUACCAAGACUUCGAUGGCUAGGGGUUCUGAGAGGAUGGUCCCCCACACUGGUACUGAGACACGGACCAGACUCCUACGGGAGGCAGCAGUAGGGAAUAUUGGGCAAUGGCCGAGAGGCUGACCCAGCCGUGCCGCGUGCAGGAAGAAGGCCUUCUGGGUUGUAAACUGCUUUUAUCUGGGAAGAAAACGCCCCUGCGGGGGUAACUGACGGUACCAGAUGAAUAAGCACCGGCUAACUCCGUGCCAGCAGCCGCGGUAAUACGGAGGGUGC
RNAcentral lists this ribosomal RNA (510 nucleotides) under uncultured bacterium. RNAcentral describes it as "bacterial SSU rRNA". It matches the Rfam family "Bacterial small subunit ribosomal RNA", at positions 28 to 535 of the family's 1533-position model. The record is from RNAcentral.